GUGUCAGCAGCCGCGGUAACACGUAGGAGGCGAGCGUUAUCCGGAUUUACUGGGUGUAAAGCGCGAGCAGGCGGUUUUGUAAGUUGGGUGUGAAAGCUCCUGGCUUAACUGGGAGAGGUCGCUCAAGACUGCAAGACUAGAGCAUGGUAGAGGAAGGUGGAAUUCCGGGUGUAGUGGUGAAAUGCGUAGAGAUCCGGAGGAACACCAGUGGCGAAAGCGGCCUUCUGGGCCAUGACUGACGCUCAGACGCGAAAGCCAGGGGAGCAAACGGGAUUAGAUACCCCCGUAGUCC
RNAcentral lists this ribosomal RNA (292 nucleotides) under uncultured bacterium. RNAcentral's name for it is "partial 16S ribosomal RNA". It matches the Rfam family "Bacterial small subunit ribosomal RNA", at positions 505 to 796 of the family's 1533-position model. The record is from RNAcentral.